UAUUAGCCGAUCGUUUAAUACAAUCGAAAACGAUAGUGAAACGUUCGUUUGUUAUUAUAAAGUAUUAAAAAACAAAUAACCAUUCUUGCAAGGUUUAAAGUAUAUCGAGUGGGCGAUAAGUAGGAGAAGAUGAAAAUUAGAGAAGAAUUUUCUACAAAAUUUCUAAUUGCUCUUCUUCUUCUAAUACUUACAGAGUCUUCCCUUGUUAGUACGUACAGAUUCUUCGAUAGAAAAUUAGAUCUUGGAAUAUAAUCAUUGCAAGGACUCUUUGCUCGCCAAGUCGA
RNAcentral lists this unclassified non-coding RNA (284 nucleotides) under Bombus terrestris (buff-tailed bumblebee). RNAcentral describes it as "misc RNA ENSBTSG00005031490.1". Lineage: Eukaryota; Metazoa; Arthropoda; Insecta; Hymenoptera; Apidae. The record is from RNAcentral.